UCCGUAGGCAGGCUAAUAAGUCAGGGGUGAAAUCCCACAGCUUAACUGUGGAACUGCCUUUGAUACUGUUAGUCUUGAGUUAUAUGGAAGUAGAUAGAAUGUGUAGUGUAGCGGUGAAAUGCAUAGAUAUUACACAGAAUACCGAUUGCGAAGGCAGUCUACUACGUAUAUACUGACGCUAAUGGACGAAAGCGUGGGGAGCGAACAGGAUUAGAUACCCUGGUAGUCC
RNAcentral lists this ribosomal RNA (229 nucleotides) under uncultured bacterium. RNAcentral's name for it is "partial 16S ribosomal RNA". It matches the Rfam family "Bacterial small subunit ribosomal RNA", at positions 568 to 796 of the family's 1533-position model. The record is from RNAcentral.